GAGAAUGUGGCUCAGUGACAGAGCAUCUGUUUUGCAUGCAGAAGAUCCCAGGUUCAGUCCUGGGCAUUUCCA
This 72-nucleotide transfer RNA is filed under the name Sphaerodactylus townsendi. RNAcentral describes it as "tRNA-Ala". It matches the Rfam family "tRNA". Rfam says of the family: Transfer RNA (tRNA) molecules are approximately 80 nucleotides in length. Their secondary structure includes four short double-helical elements and three loops (D, anti-codon, and T loops). Further hydrogen bonds mediate the characteristic L-shaped molecular structure. tRNAs have two regions of fundamental functional importance: the anti-codon, which is responsible for specific mRNA codon recognition, and the 3' end, to which the tRNAs corresponding amino acid is attached (by aminoacyl-tRNA synthetases). tRNAs cope with the degeneracy of the genetic code in two manners: having more than one tRNA (with a specific anti-codon) for a particular amino acid; and 'wobble' base-pairing, i.e. permitting non-standard base-pairing at the 3rd anti-codon position. Lineage: Eukaryota; Metazoa; Chordata; Lepidosauria; Squamata; Sphaerodactylidae. The record is from RNAcentral.